GCCGAUGGAGUGACCUUUGAAUGCUUGGUGGUGACUUUCUUGGGGCGGGCUCCCUGAUGAGUCAGAAUAGCCAAGGUAGGAGCAUUAUAGCCGAUCAGUGAUAUCGGAGACACAGAUCGGAGAUCAAAAUUUUUCCCACUCCUGCUCCUGGUCAGUACUGGGUCAUCAACAUGUCACAAGAAAAUUAGUUGCCGAUGAAAUUAAAAAUAAAGGAAAA
Molecule: long non-coding RNA, 217 nt
Filed under: Sorghum bicolor (sorghum)
Lineage: Eukaryota; Viridiplantae; Streptophyta; Magnoliopsida; Poales; Poaceae
Description: long non-coding RNA (SBIC_LNC013774)
Source: RNAcentral